UAAAACAGUUUUCUCUCUCUUCAUUCCUGUUUCAUCCCUUGUAUCCUGCGGUAUUUCCCAUUGUCAAAUUCAGUCCAGCUCACUAGUAUCUGUUAAAAUUCACACCGGCGGAAGCUUGGCACACAAAGUCUCAGCUCAGGAUGGAAACAAAGAAAAGGAAAGAAAUGAAUCACUUUCCAUUAAAAAUGG
Molecule: long non-coding RNA, 189 nt
Organism: Dermochelys coriacea (leatherback sea turtle)
Lineage: Eukaryota; Metazoa; Chordata; Testudines; Dermochelyidae
Exons: 3
Source: RefSeq, a predicted model, not a curated record